This 253-nucleotide ribosomal RNA is filed under the name uncultured bacterium. Its description in RNAcentral is "partial 16S ribosomal RNA". It matches the Rfam family "Bacterial small subunit ribosomal RNA", at positions 524 to 776 of the family's 1533-position model. The record is from RNAcentral.
GACGAGGGGCCCGAGCGUUAAUCGGAAUCACUGGGCUUAAAGGGUGCGUAGGCGGACAUGUAGGUGUUUUGUGAAAUCCCUCUGCUCAACGGAGGAAUUGCAGGGCAAACCACAUGUCUUGAGGCAGGUAGAGGCCGUCGGAACGAUAGGUGGAGCGGUGAAAUGCGUAGAUAUCUAUCGGAACGCCGAAGGUGAAGACAGACGGCUGGGCCUGUCCUGACGCUGAGGCACGAAAGCGUGGGGAGCAAACGGG